GGGUGCGAUCAUACCAGUACUAAUGCAUCGUAUCCCAUCAGAACUCCACAGUUAAGCGUGCUUGGGCGAGAGUAGUACUAGGAUGGGUGACUUCCUAGCGUGUUGCACCCU
Molecule: non-coding RNA, 111 nt
Organism: Gossypium raimondii (Peruvian cotton)
Lineage: Eukaryota; Viridiplantae; Streptophyta; Magnoliopsida; Malvales; Malvaceae
Source: Rfam